UCAUCAGUUCUAACGCCGGACGAGCAGC
This 28-nucleotide small RNA is filed under the name Bombyx mori (domestic silkworm). Its description in RNAcentral is "ovarian small RNA-2004". The record is from RNAcentral. Lineage: Eukaryota; Metazoa; Arthropoda; Insecta; Lepidoptera; Bombycidae.